AACACCACUUCAUCGCCUCCAAUCGCUCUUAAACUAAAAGAGCAUUAACCUUUGGUUUCAGAUGCGCCAUAUGGUUUUGUCGCACUCUUCGUCAGAAUCAAGAAUCACUGAGGGAUACAACAUUACAACCUACAAAAUAGAUGGUCGGCUUUGCAGCACAAGUAUGAAGUAGGGCCGGGCUCUAGUGAAAAUUUAAGAUCUGUACUGCAAUCAUACUUACCUGUCGUGUGCUACUACGCAUAAUUACUGCAUCCGCAAGCAUGGAAAAGAGA
Gastrolobium bilobum is the source of this 272-nucleotide long non-coding RNA. RefSeq lists it as uncharacterized. The record is from RefSeq and is a predicted model, not a curated record. The transcript is spliced from 3 exons. Lineage: Eukaryota; Viridiplantae; Streptophyta; Magnoliopsida; Fabales; Fabaceae.